Talpa occidentalis (Iberian mole) is the source of this 375-nucleotide long non-coding RNA. RefSeq lists it as uncharacterized. The transcript is spliced from 3 exons. Lineage: Eukaryota; Metazoa; Chordata; Mammalia; Eulipotyphla; Talpidae. The record is from RefSeq and is a predicted model, not a curated record.
CACUAAGUUUGUGGUAACUCUGCAUUUAUGGACCACAUAUUCUAACGGUGGACAUGCCAUAUGUAGUUCCCUUGCAGUCUGGAUUUGGAGCCUGGCCUAUUCACAGCUAAGCUAAGUGGCUUAUCAACUGUGGUCCCCCUGUAUGAAUGGAUGGUUAUGGAUUAGUGGAAACUCAAUGGAUGACCUAUUGCUUGCAAUUACUGGUGUAGGUUUGGAAACUACUUGAUCCAGAAGUGUCAUUUUAACCACCGUUUUCUUCUCUCAUUCAUCAUACUCAUACAUGGCUCUAUAGUUUUUAUCUUCUGAAGCCAAAUGUGGAAACCUAUACAUAAAAAUACAAACUGUCAUGAAAUAAGUCAGUCUCGGGGAUAUUAU